GACGAACGCUGGCGGCGUGCCUAAUACAUGCAAGUAGAACGCUGAAGGAGGAGCUUGCUUCUCUGGAUGAGUUGCGAACGGGUGAGUAACGCGUAGGUAACCUGCCUGGUAGCGGGGGAUAACUAUUGGAAACGAUAGCUAAUACCGCAUAAUAGCAGUUGUUGCAUGACAACUGUUUGAAAGGUGCAAUUGCACCACUACCAGAUGGACCUGCGUUGUAUUAGCUAGUUGGUGGGGUAAUGGCUCACCAAGGCGACGAUACAUAGCCGACCUGAGAGGGGGAUCGGCCACACUGGGACUGAGACACGGCCCAGACUCCUACGGGAGGCAGCAGUAGGGAAUCUUCGGCAAUGGACGGAAGUCUGACCGAGCAACGCCGCGUGAGUGAAGAAGGUUUUCGGAUCGUAAAGCUCUGUUGUAAGAGAAGAACGAGUGUGAGAGUGGAAAGUUCACACUGUGACGGUAUCUUACCAGAAAGGGACGGCUAACUACGUG
This 495-nucleotide ribosomal RNA is filed under the name uncultured bacterium. RNAcentral describes it as "partial 16S ribosomal RNA". It matches the Rfam family "Bacterial small subunit ribosomal RNA", at positions 28 to 507 of the family's 1533-position model. The record is from RNAcentral.